Molecule: ribosomal RNA, 550 nt
Filed under: uncultured Glomeromycotina
Lineage: Eukaryota; Fungi; Glomeromycota
Description: SSU rRNA
Rfam family: Eukaryotic small subunit ribosomal RNA
Source: RNAcentral
UUGGAGGGCAAGUCUGGUGCCAGCAGCCGCGGUAAUUCCAGCUCCAAUAGCGUAUAUUAAAGUUGUUGCAGUUAAAAAGCUCGUAGUUGAAUUUCGGGAUCAAUACGUCGGUCGUGCUUUCGGGUACGUACUGGCGUCAUUGGUUUCUCCUUUCUGACGAACCAUGAUGUCAUUAAUUUGGUGUUAUGGGGAGUUAGGACUGUUACUUUGAAAAAAUUAGAGUGUUUAAAGCAGGCAUUAGCUUGAAUACAUUAGCAUGGAAUAAUGAAAUAGGACGUUCGAUCCUAUUUUGUUGGUUUCUAGGAUCAACGUAAUGAUUAAUAGGGAUAGUUGGGGGCAUUAGUAUUCAAUUGUCAGAGGUGAAAUUCUUGGAUUUAUUGAAGACUAACUACUGCGAAAGCGUUUGCCAAGGAUGUUUUCAUUAAUCAAGAACGAAAGUUAGGGGAUCGAAGACGAUCAGAUACCGUCGUAGUCUUAACCAUAAACUAUGCCGACUAGGGAUCGGAUGAUGUUAAUUUUUUAAUGACUCAUUCGGCGCCUUACGGGAAAC